CCUACGGGAGGCAGCAGUCGAGAAUCAUUCACAAUGGGGGAAACCCUGAUGGUGCGACGCCGCGUGGGGGAAUGAAGGUCUUCGGAUUGUAAACCCCUGUCAUGUGGGAGCAAAUUAAAAAGAUAGUACCACAAGAGGAAGAGACGGCUAACUCUGUGCCAGCAGCCGCGGUAAUACAGAGGUCUCAAGCGUUGUUCGGAAUCACUGGGCGUAAGGCGUGCGUAGGCUGUUUCGUAAGUCGUGUGUGAAAGGCGCGGGCUCAACCCGCGGACGGCACAUGAUACUGCGAGACUAGAGUAAUGGAGGGGGAACCGGAAUGCUCGGUGUAGCAGUGAAAUGCGUAGAUAUCGUGAGGAACACUCGUGGCGAAGGCGGGUUCCUGGACAUUAACUGACGCUGAGGCACGAAGGCCAGGGGAGCGAAAGGGAUUAGAUACCCUGGUAGUC
Molecule: ribosomal RNA, 446 nt
Filed under: uncultured bacterium
Lineage: Bacteria
Description: partial 16S ribosomal RNA
Rfam family: Bacterial small subunit ribosomal RNA
Source: RNAcentral